Pezoporus occidentalis (night parrot) is the source of this 632-nucleotide long non-coding RNA. RefSeq lists it as uncharacterized. The transcript has 4 exons. The record is from RefSeq and is a predicted model, not a curated record. NCBI's taxonomy places the organism in Eukaryota, Metazoa, Chordata, Aves, Psittaciformes, Psittacidae.
UACAAGAGGAUUGGACAAAUCACUGUCUUCAUAGUUUAAUGCUGAGCUCCUCUGGUCAUUGACUAUCCUUUUCAUUCUUUAAUUGUCUAGUACUGGCAUAGUGCUUCUUCUUCAGGAGCAGCAUUCCCAGAAGCUACAUUAUCACAGGAAAAGAAUAAGAAUAAUCUUGCCAGCUUUUGUUCUACACAUUAAAUAAUGACCUUUUGAAUGAGUCAUUUAACCUGCAAAAAUUUAAAAAAAUAUUUUCCUUUAGUAAUUUUGUAAGAAUUAUAUUCCCUUAUAGGAAGGUCAUUCUUUGAAGGGAGAAAGCCCACCCAGAAUAAGAGAAGUGUGGCAUUAUUAAUUUCUGCAUUGAAACAUUUGACCAUGACCUUGAAUGCAUUCCCAGGAGUGUUGUAAUAUAGGACAUCAGCCGUUGGAUUUGAGACUGGCAGGGUCUCUUUUGGACACUCUUUUAGAGUCCUCCCUCAAAAAUGAAAAAGCUUCCAGAUUGAACAUCUCUUGGCUGGAGGAGGUGGGGAGAAGAAGAGGAAAAGGAGAAUGCCCUCAGCCCAGGACCAAGGACCAGACGGGAGAAGGCACAGCUUUUCUCACUCGCACUCUGCUCCUGAAACCCCUAAGAAGCCAGCUUC